UUGACCUCAAAUCAGGUAGGACUACCCGCUGAACUUAAGCAUAUCGAUAAGCGGAGGAAAAGAAACUAACAAGGAUUCCCCUAGUAACUGCGAGUGAAGCGGGAAAAGCUCAAAUUUAAAAUCUGGUGGUCUCCGGCCAUCCGAGUUGUAAUCUGGAGAAGCGUUUAUCCGCGUUGGACCGUGUACAAGUCUUCUGGAAGGGAGCGUCAUAGAGGGUGAGAAUCCCGUCUUUGACACGGACUACCGAUGCUUUUGUGAUGCGCUCUCGAAGAGUCGAGUUGUUUGGGAAUGCAGCUCAAAAUGGGUGGUAAAUUCCAUCUAAAGCUAAAUAUUGGCGAGAGACCGAUAGCGAACAAGUACCGUGAGGGAAAGAUGGGAAGCACUUUGGAAAGAGAGUUAAACAGUACGUGAAAUUGUUGAAAGGGAAACGUUUGAAGUCAGUCGCGUCGGUCGAGACUCAACCUUGCUCUUUUGCUCGGCGCACUUCUCGGCCGACGGGUCAGCAUCAAUUUCGACCGUCGGAUAAAGGCCGAGGGAAUGUGGCAUCUUUCGGGAUGUGUUAUAGCCUUCGGUUCGCAUACGGCGAUCGGGAUUGAGGAACUCAGCGCGCCUUCAUCGGUCGGGGCUUCGGCUCAC
This 636-nucleotide ribosomal RNA is filed under the name uncultured fungus. RNAcentral describes it as "eukaryotic LSU rRNA". It matches the Rfam family "Eukaryotic large subunit ribosomal RNA", at positions 1 to 633 of the family's 3401-position model. The record is from RNAcentral. Lineage: Eukaryota; Fungi.